Molecule: ribosomal RNA, 462 nt
Filed under: uncultured bacterium
Lineage: Bacteria
Description: bacterial SSU rRNA
Rfam family: Bacterial small subunit ribosomal RNA
Source: RNAcentral
AACGAACGCUGGCGGCAGGCCUAACACAUGCAAGUCGAACGAGUAAGAGCCGUAGCAAUACGGAGUUCUGCUAGUGGCGCACGGGUGAGUAACGCGUGGGAACGUGCCUUGGAGUUCGGGAUAACAGUUGGAAACGACUGCUAAUACCGAAUAUUCCCUCAGGGGAAAGAUUUAUCGCUCCAAGAUCGGCCCGCGUAAGAUUAGGUAGUUGGUGGGUAAGUGGCCUACCAAGCCUACGAUCUUUAGCUGGUCUGAGAGGACGACCAGCCACACUGGAACUGAGACACGGUCCAGACUCCUACGGGAGGCAGCAGUGGGGAAUAUUGGACAAUGGGCGAAAGCCUGAUCCAGCCAUGCCGCGUGAAUGAUGAAGGCCUUAGGGUUGUAAAAUUCUUUUGUCAGGGGAAGGAUAAAUGACGGUACCCUGCGAAUAAGCUCCGGCUAACUUCGUGCCAGCAGCCG